CUAAGAUGGGUAUAAAGGGGUACCCAUGUUCUUCUAACCAACAUCCUUCACUGGACUGCAAAAGCAAAACAGUCUACCAGAAAUAAAAAGAGAAUAUAUUCUUCUGAGGACCACUACAAACUCUAGAAAAAGGUCUCAGUUUCCAUCCGUUGUCAGAUGUGAUCUUAGUCAUGAUACUUUCUGAGAUACUGAGGGCAUAGUUGAUGAGGAAGGAAUGCAUGCCAAGAACAGUGAUUUUUGGAGAGGCAAAUGGGUGUGAUUAAAACAACUAUAUCGCUAUCUAAAUUUGUUGGUCUACCAGUAUCUGUUGUCGGUGAUACGGCUGUCUGUUGUUGGUUGCCCAAUUGUUGAUAGUCUUAAUUUGAUUGCACAAUUGAACAUAAUUUACUCAUAGUGGAAACCGAGAAGCAGGGAUUAGAUGAUGUAUUUUGAUCA
This is a non-coding RNA of Musa acuminata subsp. malaccensis (wild Malaysian banana), 435 nucleotides long. The record is from RefSeq and is a predicted model, not a curated record. Lineage: Eukaryota; Viridiplantae; Streptophyta; Magnoliopsida; Zingiberales; Musaceae.